RNAcentral lists this ribosomal RNA (494 nucleotides) under uncultured bacterium. Its description in RNAcentral is "partial 16S ribosomal RNA". It matches the Rfam family "Bacterial small subunit ribosomal RNA", at positions 28 to 507 of the family's 1533-position model. The record is from RNAcentral.
GACGAACGCUGGCGGCGUGCUUAACACAUGCAAGUCGAACGGUGAAGCGCCUUCCUUUUUGGUGGGUGUGGAUGAGUGGCGAACGGGUGAGUAACACGUGAGUAACCUGCCCCCUUCUUCUGGAUAACCGCAUGAAAGUGUGGCUAAUACGGGAUAUUCUGGGUCUGUCGCAUGAUGGGUCUGGGAAAGAUAUUGUUUCGGUGGGGGAUGGGCUCGCGGCCUAUCAGCUUGUUGGUGGGGUGAUGGCCUACCAAGGCGGUGACGGGUAGCCGGCCUGAGAGGGUGGACGGUCACACUGGGACUGAGACACGGCCCAGACUCCUACGGGCGGCAGCAGUGGGGAAUAUUGCACAAUGGGAGCAAGCCUGAUGCAGCGACGCCGCGUGAGGGAUGGAGGCCUGCGGGUUGUGAACCUCUUUCGCCAGUGAAGCAGGCCUGCCUCGUUUGUGGGUGGGUUGACGGUAGCUGGAUAAGAAGCGCCGGCUAACUACGUG